AACUUUCAGCAAUGGAUCUCUUGGCUCUCCCAUCGAUGAAGAACGCAGCGAAAUGCGAUACGUAAUGUGAAUUGCAGAAUUCAGCGAAUCAUCGAAUCUUUGAACGCACCUUGCGCCCUUCGGACAUUCCGAAGGGCCUUCCUUUUUGAGUAUCAUGAACACCUCAACUCUUCCUGGUUUUCCAUGAUGAGCUUGGACUUUGGGGGGUUUUGCUGGCCUACAGUCAGCUCCUCUAAAAUAAAUCAGCUUGCCAGUGUUUGGUGGGUAUCGCAGGUGUGAUAACUAUCUACGCUUGUGGUUUUCCACCAGGUAACCUUCAGCAGUGGAGGUUCACUGGAGCUCACAGAUGUGUCUCUCCUCAGUGAGGACAGCCCUUUGAAUGUUUGAUCUCAAAUCAGGUAGGACUACCCGCUGAACUUAAGCAUAUCAAUAAGCGGAGGCU
This 442-nucleotide unclassified non-coding RNA is filed under the name uncultured Tomentella. RNAcentral's name for it is "sequence contains ITS2". The stretch from base 1 to 155 matches the Rfam family "5.8S ribosomal RNA". The record is from RNAcentral. Lineage: Eukaryota; Fungi; Basidiomycota; Agaricomycetes; Thelephorales; Thelephoraceae.